Molecule: ribosomal RNA, 463 nt
Filed under: uncultured bacterium
Lineage: Bacteria
Description: bacterial SSU rRNA
Rfam family: Bacterial small subunit ribosomal RNA
Source: RNAcentral
AGGACGACGCUGGCGGCGUGCUUAACACAUGCAAGUCGAACGGUAAGGCCCUUCGGGGUACACGAGUGGCGAACGGGUGAGUAACACGUGGGUGAUCUGCCCUGCACUUCGGGAUAAGCCUGGGAAACUGGGUCUAAUACCGGAUAGGACCAUGGACUUCACGGUUUGUGGUGGAAAGCUUUUGCGGUGUGGGAUGGGCCCGCGGCCUAUCAGCUUGUUGGUGGGGUAAUGGCCUACCAAGGCGACGACGGGUAGCCGGCCUGAGAGGGUGUCCGGCCACACUGGGACUGAGAUACGGCCCAGACUCCUACGGGAGGCAGCAGUGGGGAAUAUUGCACAAUGGGCGCAAGCCUGAUGCAGCGACGCCGCGUGAGGGAUGACGGCCUUCGGGUCGUAAACCUCUUUCAAUAGGGACGAAGCGCAAGUGACGGUACCUAUAGAAGAAGCACCGGCCAACUACGUG